GCACAAGCGGUGGAGCAUGUGGUUUAAUUCGACGCAACGCGAAGAACCUUACCUGGGCUCGAAAUGUUAUGGACCGGAGUGGAAACAUUCCUUCCCCGCAAGGGGCCGUAAUAUAGGUGCUGCAUGGCUGUCGUCAGCUCGUGUCGUGAGAUGUUGGGUUAAGUCCCGCAACGAGCGCAACCCUUAUCUCCAGUUGCUACCAUUUAGUUGAGCACUCUGGCGAAACCGCCUCGGAUAACGGGGAGGAAGGUGGGGAUGACGUCAAGUCCUCAUGGCCUUUAUGUCCAGGGCUACACACGUGCUACAAUGGCCGGUACAAACCGUCGCAAACCCGUGAGGGGGAGCUAAUCGGAAAAAGCCGGCCUCAGUUCGGAUUGGAGUCUGCAACUCGACUCCAUGAAGCUGGAAUCGCUAGUAAUCGUGGAUCAGCAUGCCACGGUGAAUACGUUCCCGGGC
This 456-nucleotide ribosomal RNA is filed under the name uncultured bacterium. RNAcentral's name for it is "bacterial SSU rRNA". It matches the Rfam family "Bacterial small subunit ribosomal RNA", at positions 923 to 1379 of the family's 1533-position model. The record is from RNAcentral.